UCAUUAUAAUAUCAAGCAUCCAAGUGUAUCCAACCCCUCAUCAUGAGAGGAUUGUCCUAGCAAAAACAUCAUCUCUAGUCUAGCAACAACACAAACUAACCUAACAUGGCAAAAAUCAAAGGGGAAAGAGAGGUCACAAACACCAUUCUUGAUAUCUAGGUAGAAGGCUUGAAGGUGAUGCUGCCUUGAUCCUCAAACUUGACUCCAAGCUCCACUCAAUCCAAGCUAGCUCCAAGUCUUCAAUUGCUCCUCAAUCUACUCAUCUAGGGCUUCUAAUUGAGUGAGAGUUGAGAGGGAAAUCGGAUAUGUACAAUUGUUAUGAGUGUGG
This 328-nucleotide long non-coding RNA is filed under the name Linum usitatissimum (flax). RNAcentral's name for it is "long non-coding RNA (LUSI_LNC003882)". The record is from RNAcentral. Lineage: Eukaryota; Viridiplantae; Streptophyta; Magnoliopsida; Malpighiales; Linaceae.